This 812-nucleotide long non-coding RNA is filed under the name Glycine max (soybean). Its description in RNAcentral is "long non-coding RNA (GMAX_LNC001876)". The record is from RNAcentral. Lineage: Eukaryota; Viridiplantae; Streptophyta; Magnoliopsida; Fabales; Fabaceae.
GGAUGUCUCAUAAAUAAUUAUUUACGAAGAGUUUUGACCAAAAGUUGAAUGAUGUUUCAUAGAGUUGAGUCACUUAGUAGCCCUUAGAAUUUAUAUAUAAUAUUCACACGUCCCAAUAACCCACAUGCAGCACGGGCCAACAACUUAUCAACUUCUACCACUACUAUUCUUAGUCGAUCUAGGGCACAACAGCUACCCUUACUCCUUCCUGACUUGGAGGCCAAGUCGAGUACGCCAACAACAUACUCGCGUUUGCGUUAAGCCCUCUCAGUGCAUACGAUAUUGCCGGCCAAAGAUUUUGUGAAUGAGCAAAUUAUUGUUUUGUGAUUCAUCGAGAAGCUCGAAAGGGUGAUGAGCCUUUAGAUACCACUAACUUGUCACCACAAAAUAGAAAACUAAAAAAAAGUUAUUGGACUAGUCAAAAUAGGUCACCACAACCCAACAACAUAAGGGUGUUGAUUAUUAUACAAAUCUAUAAAAUUGAAAGUGAACAAGAACAGUGCAAGGUGAGUGAUCAUCAUGUGCCACGCUAAAAGAUCGAGAAACUCACCAAGAACUUCAUCCUCCUAAGUCGAGAAAAUCUAAUACAUCACUGUUGAACUUACAAGAAUGAAAGUCCUGGUACCAUGAUGGUGGGGUCUGUUUGCCCUUGCAGCGGUACAACCGUCUAGUGUAGCAGGAGAGGGGGAAAGAGAGAGAGAUAAAUUAGUCAUGGGAUUGUUGAGAGAAAAAGAUAAAAGAGGAAACAUAAGAAGGAAAGAUAGAGUGAAGUGGAUCGUCACAAAAAAUUAUCUCUGAUAACAAUGUGAAUG